GACGAACGCUGGCGGCGUGCUUAACACAUGCUAGUCGAACGGAAAGGCCCUGCUUUUGUGGGGUGCUCGAGUGGCGAACGGGUGAGUAACACGUGAGUAACCUGCCCUUGACUUUGGGAUAACUUCAGGAAACUGGGGCUAAUACCGGAUAGGAGCUCCUGCUGCAUGGUGGGGGUUGGAAAGUUUCGGCGGUUGGGGAUGGACUCGCGGCUUAUCAGCUUGUUGGUGGGGUAGUGGCUUAUCAAGGCUUUGACGGGUAGCCGGCCUGAGAGGGUGACCGGCCACAUUGGGACUGAGAUACGGCCCAGACUCCUACGGGGGGCAGCAGUGGGGAAUAUUGCACAAUGGGCGGAAGCCUGAUGCAGCAACGCCGCGUGCGGGAUGACGGCCUUCGGGUUGUAAACCGCUUUCGCCUGUGACGUAGCGUGAGUGACGGUAAUGGGUAAAGAAGCACCGGCUAACUACGUGCCAGCAGCCGCGGUGAUACGUAGGGUGCGAGCGUUGUCCGGAUUUAUUGGGCGUAAAGGGCUCGUAGGUGGUUGAUCGCGUCGGAAGUGUAAUCUUGGGGCUUAACCCUGAGCGUGCUUUCGAUACGGGUUGACUUGAGGAAGGUAGGGGAGAAUGGAAUUCCUGGUGGAGCGGUGGAAUGCGCAGAUAUCAGGAGGAACACCAGUGGCGAAGGCGGUUCUCUGGGCCUUUCCUGACGCUGAGGAGCGAAAGCGUGGGGAGCGAACAGGCUUAGAUACCCUGGUAGUCCACGCUGUAAACGGUGGGUACUAGGUGUGGGGUCCAUUCCACGGGUUCCGUGCCGUAGCUAACGCUUUAAGUACCCCGCCUGGGGAGUACGGCCGCAAGGCUAAAACUCAAAGGAAUUGACGGGGCCCCGCACAAGCGGCGGAGCAUGCGGAUUAAUUCGAUGCAACGCGUAGAACCUUACCUGGGUUUGACAUGGAUCGGGAGUGCUCAGAGAUGGGUGUGCCUCUUUUGGGGUCGGUUCACAGGUGGUGCAUGGCUGUCGUCAGCUCGUGUCGCGAGAUGUUGGGUUAAGUCCCGCAACGAGCGCAACCCUUGUUCACUGUUGCCAGCACGUUAUGGUGGGGACUCAGUGGAGACCGCCGGGGUCAACUCGGAGGAAGGUGGGGAUGACGUCAAGUCAUCAUGCCCCUUAUGUCCAGGGCUUCACGCAUGCUACAAUGGCUGGUACAGAGAGUGGCGAGCCUGUGAGGGUGAGCGAAUCUCGGAAAGCCGGUCUCAGUUCGGAUUGGGGUCUGCAACUCGGCCUCAUGAAGUCGGAGUCGCUAGUAAUCGCAGAUCAGCAACGCUGCGGUGAAUACGUUCCCGGGGCU
This 1346-nucleotide ribosomal RNA is filed under the name uncultured bacterium. Its description in RNAcentral is "partial 16S ribosomal RNA". It matches the Rfam family "Bacterial small subunit ribosomal RNA", at positions 28 to 1381 of the family's 1533-position model. The record is from RNAcentral.